This 613-nucleotide ribosomal RNA is filed under the name Eulimnogammarus verrucosus. RNAcentral describes it as "SSU rRNA". It matches the Rfam family "Eukaryotic small subunit ribosomal RNA", at positions 14 to 543 of the family's 1831-position model. Lineage: Eukaryota; Metazoa; Arthropoda; Malacostraca; Amphipoda; Eulimnogammaridae. The record is from RNAcentral.
CUGCCAGUAGUCAUAUGCUUGUCUCAAAGAUUAAGCCAUGCAUGUCUAAGUCCAAGCUGUGUUCACACGGCGAGACCGCGGACGGCUCAUUAAAUCAGUCGUGGUCCAAAUGGGCCAGUGCAAAUCCUACUUGGAUAACUGUGGUAAUUCCAGAGCUAAUACAUGCAACUGAUAUCCCGAAGGCGGUGUUUGGGCUUGCUUGCCUUGCGCUGCGCUGCUCUGACGGAUGCUUUUAUUAGACCAAGCCGCUGAGGACUUGAGGGUUCGCGCUCUCUUGUCUGACUCGUGUGAUGGUGACUCUGGAUAACCAAAUUCUGACAAGCGCACGUACUUCUCUUCUGAGCGAGACGGCGCUGCCACUUUCGAGUGUCUGCCUUAUCAGCUAUCAACCGUUCGUUAUGCGCGACCGAUGGCUUUGACGGGUAACGGGGAAUCAGGGUUCGAUUCCGGAGAGGCAGCCUGAGAGACGGCUACCACGUCCAAGGACGGCAGCAGGCACGCAAAUUACCCAAUCCCAGCAAAUGGGGGAGGUAGUGACGAAAUCUAACGAUGCGGGCGCCCUUUCUGGGGCCCCGCAAUCGGAAUGGGCACUUUCUAAACAACCUGUUGAGAA